This 468-nucleotide ribosomal RNA is filed under the name uncultured bacterium. RNAcentral's name for it is "partial 16S ribosomal RNA". It matches the Rfam family "Bacterial small subunit ribosomal RNA", at positions 28 to 507 of the family's 1533-position model. The record is from RNAcentral.
GACGAACGCUGGCGGCGUGCUUAACACAUGCAAGUCGAACGGAAAGGCCCUGCUUUUGUGGGGUGCUCGAGUGGCGAACGGGUGAGUAACACGUGAGUAACCUGCCCUUGACUUUGGGAUAACUUCAGGAAACUGGGGCUAAUACCGGAUAGGAGCUCCUGCUGCAUGGUGGGGGUUGGAAAGUUUCGGCGGUUGGGGAUGGACUCGCGGCUUAUCAGCUUGUUGGGGGGGUAGUGGCUUACCUAGGCUUUGACGGGUAGCCGGCCUGAGAGGGUGACCGGCCACAUUGGGCCUGAGAUACGGCCCAGUCUCCUACGGGAGGCAGCAGUGGGGAAUAUUGCACAAUGGGCGGAAGCCUGAUGCAGCAACGCCGCGUGCGGGAUGACGGCCUUCUGGUUGUAAACCGCUUUCGCCUGUGACGAAGCGUGAGUGACGGUAAUGAGUAAAGAAGCACCGGCUAACUACGUG